UUUUUCUUCUCUUCCAUCUGUGCCUGUCAAUCAGAGGAGGAGUGUGUUGCUGUGCAUGUCUACUGUCUACUGUGCUCGCAAAACAGAAAUCACCAGCGAUACAAGUGUGGUCUCCAGUCAGACACAACCGAAGAAGUCUGAGUUGGAUCUUCAGAAAACAUCACAAUGCCUUAUGAGCGGAUUCUGUCCAUUGAAAGUCUGUGUGACGUGCCUAAUCCGUGGAAAGGGGUUACUAUGAACCGAUGCUUGGUGCUGGUACUGGUGGUACUGCUUGUGAGCUCAGGGGUACAGGAAGUGCAUGAAGCAGUAGAGUAUGUUGUCGAGGAAACAGGCGUCAGGUCUUUGGUGGAAACUCUGCAGAGUGGCUCAUUUCCUCAGAUUUCCUUGUGGGACACUUUCAUGUGGUGGUGGGGAUCUGAGGAAGUCGGAGCAAUCAGAAGAAGAAAAAAGCCAAUUGCCAGGGCAGUCUUGAAACCCAAAGCUAAAGAAUAAUGUGUAACAGGUCAACAAACAAAUGUUAUCGACUCCCACAACAGCAAGAUUUUGGCGAUUAUAGAAGCAACAAGUCUUAAGUGUACUUUGCAAUGUUACCUGAGUGAUGUAAACAUGCUUUAUUUGAUAUUGAGCAUACUUUGAAUUUUAUAUUAGUAAUGCGAAGAUGUUGCACUAGACCUGUUUCUUUUGUAUUGUUGAGCACCCAGUUAUAUGUGUCUGUCAGAACUCGUCUGAUGAAAAUAUGUUGAAUCCCCCAGUGAAGCCUGCAUUGUAACUCACUGUAUUUGAGCACACUGUAAAAUAAUCCUGUUAUCAACAACUAAU
This is a long non-coding RNA of Salarias fasciatus (jewelled blenny), 819 nucleotides long. RefSeq lists it as uncharacterized. The record is from RefSeq and is a predicted model, not a curated record. The transcript is spliced from 5 exons. Lineage: Eukaryota; Metazoa; Chordata; Actinopteri; Blenniiformes; Blenniidae.